CUAUCUGAGUCCUAAAUCUAAGUCAUACAUAUAAUCUAAAAAUAAAAUAAAAAAAUUAAGAUCAUAUUUCAAUAUCUUACAUGAGUCAAAGUACACCACAGUGGAUAAUCAUAGAUCUGAAGGUUCUUGAGCCGCACAUGCAUCCGACCUCUACAGAUAUCCAUCAUGAUCAAUCUUGAACCUUUCUUCUUAUUUUUGAUCCAUCUUCUCAAAGAUGAAUCUCAGCCUUUUGGAUCUUUGAUCAACCAUUGAUCUUUAUCCGCG
Molecule: long non-coding RNA, 264 nt
Filed under: Elaeis guineensis (African oil palm)
Lineage: Eukaryota; Viridiplantae; Streptophyta; Magnoliopsida; Arecales; Arecaceae
Description: long non-coding RNA (EGUI_LNC052397)
Source: RNAcentral